This 442-nucleotide ribosomal RNA is filed under the name uncultured bacterium. Its description in RNAcentral is "partial 16S ribosomal RNA". It matches the Rfam family "Bacterial small subunit ribosomal RNA", at positions 338 to 795 of the family's 1533-position model. The record is from RNAcentral.
CCUACGGGAGGCAGCAGUGGGGAAUAUUGGGCAAUGGGCGCAAGCCUGACCCAGCAAUGCCGCGUGAAGGAAGAAGGCUUUCGGGUUGUAAACUUCUUUGACAGGGGAAGAGCAGAAGACGGUACCCUGAAAACAAGCCACGGCUAACUACGUGCCAGCAGCCGCGGUAAUACGUAGGUGGCAAGCGUUGUCCGGAUUUACUGGGUGUAAAGGGCGUGUAGCCGGGAAGGAAAGUCAGAUGUGAAAUCUGGAGGCUCAACCUCCAAAUUGCAUUUGAAACUGUUUUUCUUGAGUACUGGAGAGGCAGACGGAAUUCCUUGUGUAGCGGUGAAAUGCGUAGAUAUAAGGAGGAACACCAGUGGCGAAGGCGGUCUGCUGGACAGCAACUGACGGUGAGGCGCGAAAGCAUGGGGAGCAAACAGGAUUAGAUACCCCAGUAGUC